AACCUAGCACACCUGCGGUGUGUACCUGCGGAAGGAUCAUUACAAGUGACCCCGGUCUAACCACCGGGAUGUUCAUAACCCUUUGUUGUCCGACUCUGUUGCCUCCGGGGCGACCCUGCCUCCGGGCGGGGGCUCCGGGUGGACACUUCAAACUCUUGCGUAACUUUGCAGUCUGAGUAAACUUAAUUAAUAAAUUAAAACUUUCAACAAUGGAUCU
RNAcentral lists this unclassified non-coding RNA (217 nucleotides) under soil metagenome. RNAcentral's name for it is "partial contains 5.8S ribosomal RNA, internal transcribed spacer 2, and large subunit ribosomal RNA". The record is from RNAcentral.